AUUGAACGCUGGCGGCAUGCCUUACACAUGCAAGUCGAACGGCAGCACGGGUGCUUGCACCUGGUGGCGAGUGGCGAACGGGUGAGUAAUACAUCGGAACAUGUCCUGUAGUGGGGGAUAGCCCGGCGAAAGCCGGAUUAAUACCGCAUACGAUCUACGGAUGAAAGCGGGGGACCUUCGGGCCUCGCGCUAUAGGGUUGGCCGAUGGCUGAUUAGCUAGUUGGUGGGGUAAAGGCCUACCAAGGCGACGAUCAGUAGCUGGUCUGAGAGGACGACCAGCCACACUGGGACUGAGACACGGCCCAGACUCCUACGGGAGGCAGCAGUGGGGAAUUUUGGACAAUGGGCGAAAGCCUGAUCCAGCAAUGCCGCGUGUGUGAAGAAGGCCUUCGGGUUGUAAAGCACUUUUGUCCAGAAAGAAAUCCUUGGCCCUAAUACGGUCGGGGGAUGACGGUACCGGAAGAAUAAGCACCGGCUAACUACGUG
This 486-nucleotide ribosomal RNA is filed under the name uncultured bacterium. RNAcentral describes it as "partial 16S ribosomal RNA". It matches the Rfam family "Bacterial small subunit ribosomal RNA", at positions 30 to 507 of the family's 1533-position model. The record is from RNAcentral.